Molecule: transfer RNA, 76 nt
Filed under: Arsenophonus nasoniae (son-killer infecting Nasonia vitripennis)
Lineage: Bacteria; Pseudomonadati; Pseudomonadota; Gammaproteobacteria; Enterobacterales; Morganellaceae
Also listed under: 1 other name
Description: tRNA-Phe
Rfam family: tRNA
About the family: Transfer RNA (tRNA) molecules are approximately 80 nucleotides in length. Their secondary structure includes four short double-helical elements and three loops (D, anti-codon, and T loops).
Source: RNAcentral
GCCUGGAUAGCUCAGUCGGUAGAGCAGAGGAUUGAAAAUCCUCGUGUCGGUGGUUCGAUUCCGCCUCCGGGCACCA